Molecule: long non-coding RNA, 1059 nt
Organism: Oryza sativa Japonica Group (Japanese rice)
Lineage: Eukaryota; Viridiplantae; Streptophyta; Magnoliopsida; Poales; Poaceae
Source: RefSeq, a predicted model, not a curated record
AGUGGACUAUUGGUUCAGCUCGUUAAACUCAUGAAUACUCCAUAACUCGUAACCUAGCUCACUACUAGAAUUCAACGGGUUCCCUAGAGUUAAAAUUGUUCCCUAGAGUUGUUAAAGCCAUCCAAGGGAAACCAAAAGUAUCCCUAGGGAGCAAAUUGAUAACUCUAAGGGAAAGAAGUAUUCCUAGGGAACUUUGGCUGAAAUGACACGUAGCUACUCCACAUCAGCAUGGUGGUCUGAUUACUUCCAAUAUUUUUUUUCAAUUUUUUUCCUUGCUGCGACCAAGGAACGCGCCCUCGACAUACAAAAUUUCUGCCCAAUAAAUGUUGGGCCCACCUUAUCUUCUCCACAGCUCAAGCAAACCACAUCCUCUCGUUUUUCUUCACCCCAACGGCCGGCCGGCGUGCGGCGGCCGGCCGGCACGGCGGCCCCUGCCCUUUCCUUGACCAAACCUCGAGCUCUAGCAACCGGUCGCCAGCAAGCACCCGACAGCUGCCGCUCUCGACAAGCUCGACGGAGCCUCCUCUCUCACCACACGCCGUUGUCUCCGUCUUGCAUAAGUUGUUUCGAUCCAAUUUUCUCAGCUCCUUUCCUCUCCUUUUUUUUCUUCGUAGCGUGCAGCACAAGAGCGCACUCCAGCAAGCAGCGAGCACCACAAGGUUGCUGAUGCUCCAGCCUCCAUCAUGAUGCUGACCAGCAAUGGAAGUACAAAUCCAAGCAAGGGCUGGAAGCAUUGGAGAACAAACAAGAUUAGUUCCACUUCAGUUCUUUGCGGAUGCAGUUUUUCAAGUUUCCACUGUUGUUGCAGAAGCACGCUAGUAUCAAGUGGUUUAGAUUCGUUUUCAAGAACAUGUGUUGUCUUUUAUGUUUUUAUCGUUUCGAUCUGAGCGAUGAUAGCAUCAGCUCAUCAGCACAUCUGAAGUGUGUAUCAUAUGUUUGUGAGAGGAAUUUUUUGUCAACUUUUCAGCUCCACUUUGUACUACAAAAGUAUAUGUAAACUGAAGAAUCAAUGUAAUUGAGUAUUUUUCUAUUGAUAAUAGAAUGGCAUUUUUAUUUCAA